UACACUCCUGCGGGAGGCAGCAGUAGGGAAUCUUCGGCAAUGGGGGCAACCCUGACCGAGCAACGCCGCGUGAGUGAAGAAGGUUUUCGGAUCGUAAAGCUCUGUUGUAAGUCAAGAACGAGUGUGAGAGUGGAAAGUUCACACUGUGACGGUAGCUUACCAGAAAGGGACGGCUAACUACGUGCCAGCAGCCGCGGUAAUACGUAGGUCCCGAGCGUUGUCCGGAUUUAUUGGGCGUAAAGCGAGCGCAGGCGGUUUGAUAAGUCUGAAGUUAAAGGCUGUGGCUCAACCAUAGUUCGCUUUGGAAACUGUCAAACUUGAGUGCAGAAGGGGAGAGUGGAAUUCCAUGUGUAGCGGUGAAAUGCGUAGAUAUAUGGAGGAACACCGGUGGCGAAAGCGGCUCUCUGGUCUGUAACUGACGCUGAGGCUCGAAAGCGUGGGGAGCGAACAGGAUUAGAAACCCGUGUAGUCCCAUGAU
This 478-nucleotide ribosomal RNA is filed under the name uncultured organism. RNAcentral describes it as "partial 16S ribosomal RNA". It matches the Rfam family "Bacterial small subunit ribosomal RNA", at positions 332 to 801 of the family's 1533-position model. The record is from RNAcentral.